This 347-nucleotide long non-coding RNA is filed under the name Junco hyemalis (dark-eyed junco). Its description in RNAcentral is "lncRNA (ENSJHYG00000007486.1)". The record is from RNAcentral. Lineage: Eukaryota; Metazoa; Chordata; Aves; Passeriformes; Passerellidae.
GAUCCGAGGCUUUAUUUGGGAUCCUCCGGGACCCUCUGGAAUCUUUGGGACCCUCUGGGACCCCUCCCCUAUUUCCGGCACCCCCCACACCCAUCCCCAUCCCCAAUGGACCCUCUGGGAUCCUCUGGGAUCUUUUGGGACCCUCUGGGACCCCUCCCCUAUUUCUAACACCCCCCACACCCGUACCCUUCCCCGGAGCUGGAUCCUGGCUGGGCCCUGGAUCCCUGACCGGAUCCCUGACCGGAUCCCUGGCUGUAGCCCUGACCGGAUCCCUGACUGGAUCCCUGGCUGUAGCCCUGACUGGAUCCCUGGGCGGCUCCCAGGGCCGAUCCCUGACUGGUUCCCUG